RNAcentral lists this unclassified non-coding RNA (337 nucleotides) under fungal sp. RNAcentral describes it as "partial internal transcribed spacer region". The stretch from base 1 to 46 matches the Rfam family "Eukaryotic small subunit ribosomal RNA", at positions 1786 to 1831 of the family's 1831-position model. Lineage: Eukaryota; Fungi. The record is from RNAcentral.
AAGUCGUAACAAGGUUUCCUUAGGUGAACCUGCGGAAGGAUCAUUAACACGUAUCCAACGUUAAACCCCCAUUCCGUUAGGACGCGGCAAUCCCUGGUAAAUCAUCGCCGAACAGUUUUGAUUCAGGUACCUCUGCAUGGAGUGGGCAGCAGCGCGAGGCAAGUGACCUGGCAUUCCUCUGCUUGUUGGUGUCUGAAAGUGUCACUAGCUCUGUAAGAAUGGCGCAGUAACGAUCGGGGCUCACGCCCCCCUAUCACCUUUGCAUGAAAACGGGCCUGCGCUUAAUUGUGCGGCCACCAAACUCGAACAACUGUUAACAAUGGAUAUCUUGGUUCUC